GAUGAAGAACGUAGCGAAAUGCGAUACUUGGUGUGAAUUGCAGAAUCCCGUGAACCAUCGAGUCUUUGAACGCAAGUUGCGCCCGAAGCCAUUAGGCCGAGGGCACGCCUGCCUGGGUGUCACACGUCGUUGCCCCCCCAUCUACUCCUUCGGGAUUGCGGGGGGCGGAUGAUGGCCUCCUGUGCGCCUCGUCGCGCGGUUGGCAUAAAUGCCAAGUCCUCGGCGACGCACGCCACGACAAUCGGUGGUUGCGAAACCUCGGUUGCCCGUCGUGUGCGGUCGUCGCGCAUCGAGGGCUCGAAAAAAUUGCCGGGCUCCGGCUCGGCUUUCAACGCGACCCCAGGUCAGGCGGGGUUACCCGCUGAAUUUAAGCAUAUCAAUAAGCGGAGGA
RNAcentral lists this unclassified non-coding RNA (391 nucleotides) under soil metagenome. Its description in RNAcentral is "partial contains 5.8S ribosomal RNA, internal transcribed spacer 2, and large subunit ribosomal RNA". The stretch from base 1 to 122 matches the Rfam family "5.8S ribosomal RNA", at positions 35 to 154 of the family's 154-position model. The record is from RNAcentral.